UUAAGUUCAGCGGGUACUCCUACCUGAUCCGAGGUCAACCAUUUGAUACAUAUUAAAGUUUCACUUGGCUGUGCCGCGCGAACGCCUUCUAAAAGUGAGAAGAUAAUUACUACACUUCAAGGCGACGCGAGCCCUGCCACGAGAUUUAAGGAGUUGCGUCGCGGAUAACCGCGAGGAUGCAAACACCCAACGCUAAACAG
Molecule: unclassified non-coding RNA, 200 nt
Filed under: Lopadostoma sp.
Lineage: Eukaryota; Fungi; Ascomycota; Sordariomycetes; Xylariales; Xylariaceae
Description: partial internal transcribed spacer 2
Source: RNAcentral